Long non-coding RNA from Olea europaea var. sylvestris, 734 nucleotides. RefSeq lists it as uncharacterized. The transcript has 5 exons. NCBI's taxonomy places the organism in Eukaryota, Viridiplantae, Streptophyta, Magnoliopsida, Lamiales, Oleaceae. The record is from RefSeq and is a predicted model, not a curated record.
UUCUAAUUUCAUUUUUCUUGUUUUGUAAAAAUUAAUUUCAGUGAGCCUGCGAGUGAAAAUUGCAGCCCUCAGAAACAAGAGAAUGCACAUGGUGGUGUGACCACUGUAAUUGGCUUCCUCAUUGCCAUAUUUGCAAUUGUCAUAGCUACAUUUUCCACAGGGAUUGAUUCACAAUCAUUUCAGUUUCGGAAAGGCGAAGUUCAGUUAGAGGACGAUAUACCAUAUAAAUACGGAUUCUUUCAUGUCGUAUUUUCUUUGGGGGCCAUGUAUUUCGCGAUGCUAUUCAUCAGUUGGAAUUUAGAAAGCUCGACAAGAAAAUGGAGCAUCGACGUUGGCUGGGCUAGUACGUGGGUGAAGAUCGUUAACGAGUGGUUUGCGGCCACCAUAUACUUGUGGAAACUGAUUUCCCCUGUUGUGAGACAGGACAAGAUCAUGAAUCAUGAAGUGUCCAUGGAGGAAGUAAACAAGUCAGAAGCAGCAUGAUUUUGUACAAUGUAAUCUAGUACAUGUUUGGCCAAGUAUUUGAGCUGCUUAUUUACCCUCUUAUUUUGCAGUAAAAAAUAAGCCAAUAAGCAGUGCUUAUAAACUUAGCCAAACAUUCUAUUCUUCUUCUUUUUUCCCCAUUGAUGAUGAUGAGGUGGUCAAGCCUUCAAUUUACAGGCCAAUGUACAAGCCGAAAUAGAUGUGUCCAUUUUGUGAAAAUGCUUAUUUGAAUAACAUUUCUCAUGCAUCAA